AUGGAUUUUCUGGUGCAGAUUUUCAGCUUCUUGCUAAUCAGUGCCUCAGGAAAAUGUGCUCACCCAGUCUCCAGCAAUCAUGUCUGCAUCUCCAGGGGAAAAGGUCACCAUGACCUGCAGGGCCAGCUCAAGUGUAAGUUCCAGUUACUUGCACUGGUACCAGCAGAAGUCAGGUGCCUCCCCCAAACUCUGGAUUUAUAGCACAUCCAACUUGGCUUCUGGAGUCCCUGCUCGCUUCAGUGGCAGUGGGUCUGGGACCUCUUACUCUCUCACAAUCAGCAGUGUGGAGGCUGAAGAUGCUGCCACUUAUUACUGCCAGCAGUACAGUGGUU
Non-coding RNA from Mus musculus (house mouse), 332 nucleotides. NCBI's taxonomy places the organism in Eukaryota, Metazoa, Chordata, Mammalia, Rodentia, Muridae. The record is from the annotation of a RefSeq genome assembly.